GUUUUAAUAAUUUAAUUAAAAAUACUGGUCUUGUAAACCAGAAAUAAAGCCCCCCCCCUUUUUAAAACA
RNAcentral lists this transfer RNA (69 nucleotides) under Euspilotus scissus. Its description in RNAcentral is "tRNA-Thr". It matches the Rfam family "tRNA". From Rfam's summary of the family: Transfer RNA (tRNA) molecules are approximately 80 nucleotides in length. Lineage: Eukaryota; Metazoa; Arthropoda; Insecta; Coleoptera; Histeridae. The record is from RNAcentral.